GACGAACGCUGGCGGCGUGCCUAAUACAUGCAAGUUGAGCGAUGAAGCUUGGUGCUUGCACCCAUUUGAAGAGCAGCGAACGGGUGAGUAACGCGUGGGGAAUCUGCCUUUGAGCGGGGGACAACAUUUGGAAACGAAUGCUAAUACCGCAUAACAACUUUAAACAUAAGUUUUAAGUUUGAAAGAUGCAAUUGCAUCACUCAAAGAUGAUCCCGCGUUGUAUUAGCUAGUUGGUGAGGUAAAGGCUCACCAAGGCGAUGAUACAUAGCCGACCUGAGAGGGUGAUCGGCCACAAUGGGACUGAGACACGGCCCAAACUCCUACGGGAGGCAGCAGUAGGGAAUCUUCGGCAAUGGACGAAAGUCUGACCGAGCAACGCCGCGUGAGUGAAGAAGGUUUUCGGAUCGUAAAACUCUGUUGGUAGAGAAGAACGUUGGUGAGAGUGGAAAGCUCAUCAAGUGACGGUAACUACCCAGAAAGGGACGGCUAACUACGUG
This 497-nucleotide ribosomal RNA is filed under the name uncultured bacterium. Its description in RNAcentral is "partial 16S ribosomal RNA". It matches the Rfam family "Bacterial small subunit ribosomal RNA", at positions 28 to 507 of the family's 1533-position model. The record is from RNAcentral.